ACUAGAAAAGAAAAAAAAAUACUCUUUAGAUUUUAUUCUUUAAAGUAAAUGUCUCAAGAGUAUAUCGUAGUAGUUAGUUCGUAGAUUCUGUUUCGGGUGUUGCGAAACGGUCUCAUCACGGUUGUAUCCUGGGAUUCAAAAAUUGCAUAAAACCGUCACACAUUACGGGCGAUUUAUUGAGUUAAGGAAAGAGAUCAAAUCUCGACUCCGUGAAUUCGUCUAUUUCCUUACGAUUUCUUAAACGUUGUAAAUCUUUAUAUUAUCGUUUAUAUGUUUUUUGUUUCGUAAUUUUCAAUCAGGAUUUUCGCGGUCCUACAACAUAUUUCUUCAAGUUGAUCGUCUGUGAGUUUCCAUGGUGCCAUGAUCGAAGGGUUUAGAUUGAGAAAUCUAAACGGUUGUCGCUGAUACCAACUAUAGCGUAACAGAUAAUGUAGCUUCAAAUUUUUAGUCUAAGAAUGCCUAAAAGAACCUACAAGUUUGAAUCUGUGAGAUCACCAAUGGUCUAGCCGUAAACAAGAGUUGAAAGCAAAGCUACGUUUCAUAAAUUCAAUAAUAAUGUGUCUCUUUGCAAAGCCUAAAGAUCAUUAUAUAUAGUCAUAAAAAGUCCUUAAGUCCUC
Molecule: long non-coding RNA, 617 nt
Filed under: Brassica napus (rape)
Lineage: Eukaryota; Viridiplantae; Streptophyta; Magnoliopsida; Brassicales; Brassicaceae
Description: long non-coding RNA (BNAP_LNC011162)
Source: RNAcentral